RNAcentral lists this ribosomal RNA (1247 nucleotides) under metagenome. RNAcentral describes it as "bacterial LSU rRNA". It matches the Rfam family "Bacterial large subunit ribosomal RNA", at positions 1564 to 2818 of the family's 2925-position model. The record is from RNAcentral.
UGAGUACGAGAUGCUACGGCAUCGAAGCAGUCUAUGUCAUACUUCCAAGAAAAGCUUGCAAUGUCAUAAACAAAUAAUGCCUGUACCAUAACCGACACAGGUGGGUAGGUAGAGUAUACUAAGGGGCGCGAGAUAACCCUCUCUAAGGAACUCGGCAAAAUGACUCCGUAACUUCGGGAGAAGGAGUGCCUUAUUUUUAUAAGGUUGCAAUAACAAGAUCCAAGCAACUGUUUACCAAAAACACAGGUCUCCGCUAAGUCGUAAGACGAUGUAUGGGGGCUGACGCCUGCCCAGUGCCAGAAGGUUAAAGAAGUUGGUUAGCAUUAGCGAAGCUGAUAACUGAAGCCCUGGUGAACGGCGGCCGUAACUAUAACGGUCCUAAGGUAGCGAAAUUCCUUGUCGGGUAAGUUCCGACCCGCACGAAAGGCGUAAUGAUUUGGAUACUGUCUCGGAGAGGGGCUCGGCGAAAUAGACUUGUCUGUGAAGAUGCGGACUACCUGCACCUGGACAGAAAGACCCUAUGAAGCUUUACUGUAACUUGAGAUUGAAAUUGGACUUUAUCUGCGCAGUAUAGGUGGGAGACGUUGAGAAUAUUCUUGCGGGAAUAUUGGAGUCAUCAGUGAGAUACCACUCUUAUAAUGUUAGAUUUCUAACUUUGUAUCAUUAUCUGGUCAAAGAACAGUUUCAGGCGGGCAGUUUGACUGGGGCGGUCGCCUCCCAAACGGUAACGGAGGCGCACAAAGGUUUCCUCUGAACGUGUAGAAAUCGUAUCUAGAGUGUAAAGGCAUAAGGAAGCUUGACUGUGAGACCUACAAGUCGAGCAGGGACGAAAGUCGGUCUUAGUGAUCUGACGGUGCUGAGUGGAAAGGCCGUCACUCAACGGAUAAAAGUUACUCUAAGGAUAACAGGCUGAUCUCCCCCAAGAGUUCACAUCGACGGGGAGGUUUGGCACCUCGAUGUCGGCUCAUCGCAUCCUGGGGCGGUAGUACGUCCCAAGGGUUGGGCUGUUCGCCCAUGAAAGCGGUACGCGAGCUGGGUUCAGAACGUCGUGAGACAGUUCGGUCCAUAUCCGGUGUAGGCGUUAGAAUAUUGAGAGGAGCCUUCUUUAGUACGAGAGGACCGAGAAGGACAUACCUCUGGUGUACCAGUUAUCGUGCCAACGGUAAACGCUGGGUAGCCAUGUAUGGAGAGGAUAACCGCUGAAAGCAUCUAAGUGGGAAGCCCACCUCAAGAUAAGUAUUCUCAUC